Long non-coding RNA from Eriocheir sinensis (Chinese mitten crab), 879 nucleotides. RefSeq lists it as uncharacterized. The record is from RefSeq and is a predicted model, not a curated record. The transcript is spliced from 4 exons. NCBI's taxonomy places the organism in Eukaryota, Metazoa, Arthropoda, Malacostraca, Decapoda, Varunidae.
UUUAGCCCUCAUCACAGGGGUGAGGCAAAGAUGGGAAACCAUCACAGGGCCUCUGUCCUCUUGCGUCACCGCUGCAGCCAAGCAACGAGCUUGGGAAGCUGUGGUGGAGGAGGUCAACGCCGUGAGUGGAGUUGGGCGCAGCGUGGAGGAGGUGCGCAUGAAGUUCUCCGACUUCAAGCGCCACACUAAGAAGAAGUUGGGAGAAUUAAGACGUGAGGCGACUAGCACAGGUGGCGGCUCUGUCCAAACAGACACCCUCACCGAUGCUGAGGAGGCCAUGGCGCAGGUGCUGGACCCUGCAGUUGUAGCGGGUGUGGGAUCUGGUUUAGAAUCAGAUCCUCGUCCAACACCUUCUGUGUCUGCAGCUGCUGCAGACACAGAAGUGUGUAGAAUCUUCCUUUCGGAGGAUUCUAUGACACCCGCACUUCUGCAAGGCCCAUCACAGCCCCCUCCUCACCAUCCCCGCCCUACUCCUACUCACCAGCUGGCCCCUGAAUUGGCACCUGUCCACCGUGCCCCAGAAACUCAAUCUCCCCCUGAUGUAGGAGCGGCACCUCACGCUUCCACCAGAAGACACAAGAGGGUUGAUCCACCAGUUGGGCCAAAAAUGGUGGAAAUUCAAGAAGAUAUCCUUCUUGAAGUGAGGAGGCUGAGUGGUACUAUGGACAAGGUAGCUGCAGCCUUGGAAAAAAUUGCAGUUACCUUGUCAAAAUAAGGUGACAGGUCCAAUUAGGUACCCAUUUAUCGUCCAGCCCAAAAGCGAGGAUGAACAGCCACUGCACCUUAAAGGAUCCCUCCACAGAUGCCUCCUCAGCCCCUCCCUUAGGACCAUCCAGCAGACCUCCACACCCAGCACCACCAACAUGGCCAACCACUCCG